RNAcentral lists this small nucleolar RNA (101 nucleotides) under Helobdella robusta. RNAcentral's name for it is "small nucleolar RNA SNORD16". It matches the Rfam family "Small nucleolar RNA SNORD16". From Rfam's summary of the family: U16 is a member of the C/D class of snoRNA which contain the C (UGAUGA) and D (CUGA) box motifs. The record is from Rfam by way of RNAcentral. Lineage: Eukaryota; Metazoa; Annelida; Clitellata; Rhynchobdellida; Glossiphoniidae.
UCCAAUGAUGUCGUAAUUUGCGUCAUAUCGUGGCCUACUGGAGACGGUUGCCUGCCUUUUUUAAUCCGGACGUCGCAAUUAUGAAAAUUAAUUUCUGAGGA